This 1150-nucleotide long non-coding RNA is filed under the name Homo sapiens (human). RNAcentral describes it as "HSALNT0335244". Lineage: Eukaryota; Metazoa; Chordata; Mammalia; Primates; Hominidae. The record is from RNAcentral.
UGUGCAUGAUUAACUAAAACAGCCUGUUGACGGCUUAAAAUAAACCUGCCUUUUCCAUUUAGCAUUUUAUCAAAUGAAUAUAAUUUCAUUUGCUGAUGAAUUUAGUUCAGCUUCAAGAGAAUUUUUCUUUUCUUCAUGGGGAGGCUGAAGAAUCAGAACUGUCAUACCAAAGAAUGAAAAGCAAGCCUAGGGAGAACAAGACAGUCUGAUGUUUACAUGGGGUUAACUUAUUUGAUCAGUGAAAUCAGAAAAGGAUCAUUCUGCAUUCGUGGACUACUCUCAUUGACACACUCGCUUACCCAUCUGAAAACAGCAACACAGUCUGGGUUCCUGAUUUGUAUCUGUUACCCUUCAUGGAAAUGGCUGGUGAAGCAAAACUAUGUGUGUAAAACUGCAUCUGCCACAGGCUGCUUGUCCACAAAAGCAGCAAAGCAUCUCUAUGGAAUACCUCCGUAUGGAUCUGUAAAGAAGAGUCCCACUUCAGUCAAAGACAGUAGAUUAUGAGAUUAAAGAAGACUGAAGAGAUAUGAAAACUAAAUGCAAUUCAUGAUCUUGUACCAGAGGGAAGAAAAUUCUAUCAAGAACAAUAUUGUAUCAACUGACAAAAUCAUAAUAUGAAUGACAGAUCAGAUAAAUGUGUUGUGUCAAAGUUAAAUUUCCUGAAGUUGAAAACUACAUUAGAAUACAGUCUAAGAGAAUGUCCUAGUUUGGGGAAAUAUACAUACAACUAUUUAAAGGUAUGGGCAUGACACAACUCACUCACAAAUAGUUCUUUAGCUAUUCUUGCCACUUUAACUUUGAAACUACUUCCAAAUGAAAAAAUUAAAAAUUUUAAAAUAUGUAAGAACACCACAAGUAUAGUAACUUUAGUAAGUGGCAUCUGAAUUCUACUUCAUCAGAAUUUUCUGAAUGCAACUUGUCCUUAUUCCCUAACCCUAAAUAGCAAAUGACUUAGAGUGUUCAAUUUUUUUCUUUCCUUAAUAACAUUAUUCAAAUGUGUAUGGCUCCUGAUAAGCCAUCCCCUACCACUGUAUCCACCUUUCUUUGUUCUACCUAAGCAAUUCACAGUUAAGCUGGAAGAUAUUAGAAGACGCUCACUCUUUCUUUCUCAAGGGAUGCUGACUUGUCACAUGCUUAAACAAACUCUUUU